UUAAGUUAGAAAGGGCGCACGGUGGAUGCCUUGGCACUAGGAGCCGAUGAAGGACGGGACGAACACCGAUAUGCUUCGGGGAGCUGUAAGCAAGCUUUGAUCCGGAGAUUUCCGAAUGGGGAAACCCACCACUCGUAAUGGAGUGGUAUCCAUAUCUGAAUACAUAGGAUAUGAGAAGGCAGACCCGGGGAACUGAAACAUCUAAGUACCCGGAGGAAGAGAAAGCAAAUGCGAUUCCCUGAGUAGCGGCGAGCGAAACGGGAUCAGCCCAAACCAAGAGGCUUGCCUCUUGGGGUUGUAGGACACUCUGUACGGAGUUACAAAGGAACGAGGUAGAUGAAGAGGUCUGGAAAGGCCCGCCAUAGGAGGUAACAGCCCUGUAGUCAAAACUUCGUUCUCUCCUGAGUGGAUCCUGAGUACGGCGGAACACGUGAAAUUCCGUCGGAAUCCGGGAGGACCAUCUCCCAAGGCUAAAUACUCCCUAGUGACCGAUAGUGAACCAGUACCGUGAGGGAAAGGUGAAAAGCACCCCGGAAGGGGAGUGAAAGAGAUCCUGAAACCGUGUGCCUACAAGUAGUCAGAGCCCGUUAACGGGUGAUGGCGUGCCUUUUGUAGAAUGAACCGGCGAGUUACGAUCCCGUGCAAGGUUAAGCAGAAGAUGCGGAGCCGCAGCGAAAGCGAGUCUGAAUAGGGCGAAUUGAGUACGUGGUCGUAGACCCGAAACCAGGUGAUCUACCCAUGUCCAGGGUGAAGUUCAGGUAACACUGAAUGGAGGCCCGAACCCACGCACGUUGAAAAGUGCGGGGAUGAGGUGUGGGUAGGGGUGAAAUGCCAAUCGAACCUGGAGAUAGCUGGUUCUCUCCGAAAUAGCUUUAGGGCUAGCCUCAAGGUAAGAGUCUCGGAGGUAGAGCACUGAUUGGACUAGGGGCCCCUACCGGGUUACCGAAUUCAGUCAAACUCCGAAUGCCGAUGACUUAUCCUUGGGAGUCAGACUGCGAGUGAUAAGAUCCGUAGUCGAAAGGGAAACAGCCCAGACCGCCAGCUAAGGUCCCAAAGUAUACGUUAAGUGGAAAAGGAUGUGGAGUUGCUUAGACAACCAGGAUGUUGGCUUAGAAGCAGCCACCAUUUAAAGAGUGCGUAAUAGCUCACUGGUCGAGUGACUCUGCGCCGAAAAUGUACCGGGGCUAAACGUAUCACCGAAGCUGCGGACUGUUCUUCGAACAGUGGUAGGAGAGCGUUCUAAGGGCUGUGAAGCAAGACCGGAAGGACUUGUGGAGCGCUUAGAAGUGAGAAUGCCGGUAUGAGUAGCGAAAGAGGGGUGAGAAUCCCCUCCACCGAAUGCCUAAGGUUUCCUGAGGAAGGCUCGUCCGCUCAGGGUUAGUCGGGACCUAAGCCGAGGCCGAAAGGCGUAGGCGAUGGAUAACAGGUUGAUAUUCCUGUACCACCUCCUCACCAUUUGAGCAAUGGGGGGACGCAGGAGGAUAGGGUAAGCGCGGUAUUGGAUAUCCGCGUCCAAGCAGUUAGGCUGGGAAAUAGGCAAAUCCGUUUCCCGUGAAGGCUGAGCUGUGAUGGCGAGCGAAUUAUAGUAGCGAAGUUCCUGAUUCCACACUGCCAAGAAAAGCCUCUAGCGAGGUGAGAGGUGCCCGUACCGCAAACCGACACAGGUAGGCGAGGAGAGAAUCCUAAGGUGAUCGAGAGAACUCUCGUUAAGGAACUCGGCAAAAUGACCCCGUAACUUCGGGAGAAGGGGUGCUCUGUUAGGGUGCAAGCCCGAGAGAGCCGCAGUGAAUAGGCCCAGGCGACUGUUUAGCAAAAACACAGGUCUCUGCGAAGCCGUAAGGCGAAGUAUAGGGGCUGACGCCUGCCCGGUGCUGGAAGGUUAAGAGGAGCGCUUAGCGUAAGCGAAGGUGCGAAUUGAAGCCCCAGUAAACGGCGGCCGUAACUAUAACGGUCCUAAGGUAGCGAAAUUCCUUGUCGGGUAAGUUCCGACCCGCACGAAAGGCGCAACGAUCUGGGCACUGUCUCAACGAGAGACUCGGUGAAAUUAUAGUACCUGUGAAGAUGCAGGUUACCCGCGACAGGACGGAAAGACCCCGUGGAGCUUUACUGCAGCCUGAUAUUGAAUGUUGGUACAGCUUGUACAGGAUAGGUAGGAGCCUUGGAAACCGGAGCGCCAGCUUCGGUGGAGGCAUCGGUGGGAUACUACCCUGGCUGUAUUGACCUUCUAACCCGCCGCCCUUAUCGGGCGGGGAGACAGUGUCAGGUGGGCAGUUUGACUGGGGCGGUCGCCUCCUAAAAGGUAACGGAGGCGCCCAAAGGUUCCCUCAGAAUGGUUGGAAAUCAUUCGCAGAGUGUAAAGGCACAAGGGAGCUUGACUGCGAGACCUACAAGUCGAGCAGGGACGAAAGUCGGGCUUAGUGAUCCGGUGGUUCCGCAUGGAAGGGCCAUCGCUCAACGGAUAAAAGCUACCCCGGGGAUAACAGGCUUAUCUCCCCCAAGAGUCCACAUCGACGGGGAGGUUUGGCACCUCGAUGUCGGCUCAUCGCAUCCUGGGGCUGUAGUCGGUCCCAAGGGUUGGGCUGUUCGCCCAUUAAAGCGGUACGCGAGCUGGGUUCAGAACGUCGUGAGACAGUUCGGUCCCUAUCCGUCGCGGGCGCAGGAAAUUUGAGAGGAGCUGUCCUUAGUACGAGAGGACCGGGAUGGACGCACCGCUGGUGUACCAGUUGUUCUGCCAAGGGCAUCGCUGGGUAGCUAUGUGCGGACGGGAUAAGUGCUGAAAGCAUCUAAGCAUGAAGCCCCCCUCAAGAUGAGAUUUCCCAUUCCGCAAGGAAGUAAGAUCCCUGAAAGAUGAUCAGGUUGAUAGGUCUGAGGUGGAAGUGUGGCGACACAUGGAGCUGACAGAUACUAAUCGAUCGAGGACUUAACCAA
Molecule: ribosomal RNA, 2928 nt
Filed under: Bacillus amyloliquefaciens
Lineage: Bacteria; Bacillati; Bacillota; Bacilli; Caryophanales; Bacillaceae
Also listed under: 2 other names
Description: bacterial LSU rRNA
Rfam family: Bacterial large subunit ribosomal RNA
Source: RNAcentral